Molecule: transfer RNA, 69 nt
Filed under: Pseudochirops albertisii (D'Albertis' ringtail)
Lineage: Eukaryota; Metazoa; Chordata; Mammalia; Diprotodontia; Pseudocheiridae
Description: tRNA-Trp
Rfam family: tRNA
About the family: Transfer RNA (tRNA) molecules are approximately 80 nucleotides in length. Their secondary structure includes four short double-helical elements and three loops (D, anti-codon, and T loops). Further hydrogen bonds mediate the characteristic L-shaped molecular structure. tRNAs have two regions of fundamental functional importance: the anti-codon, which is responsible for specific mRNA codon recognition, and the 3' end, to which the tRNAs corresponding amino acid is attached (by aminoacyl-tRNA synthetases). tRNAs cope with the degeneracy of the genetic code in two manners: having more than one tRNA (with a specific anti-codon) for a particular amino acid; and 'wobble' base-pairing, i.e. permitting non-standard base-pairing at the 3rd anti-codon position.
Source: RNAcentral
AAAGGCUUAGGUUAGACUAGACCUAAGGCCUUCAAAGCCUUAAGCAGGUGAUCAACCACCUAGCCUUUA